CCAGGUCCCGUCGGUACGAGAAGCCCACGUUGCAACGUUUUACAAGCGGUCCGCACCGUCGGGGGCUGAUC
Oreochromis aureus is the source of this 71-nucleotide microRNA precursor. The record is from Ensembl. Lineage: Eukaryota; Metazoa; Chordata; Actinopteri; Cichliformes; Cichlidae.